Non-coding RNA from Phrynosoma platyrhinos (Desert horned lizard), 72 nucleotides. NCBI's taxonomy places the organism in Eukaryota, Metazoa, Chordata, Lepidosauria, Squamata, Phrynosomatidae. The record is from the annotation of a GenBank genome assembly.
GCCAGUAUGGUGUAGGGGUUUGGGCAUUGGACUAUGACUCUGGAGACCAGGGUUUGAAUCCCUGCUUGGCCA